UACGGGGGGAGCAAGCGUUAAUCGGAAUUACUGGGCGUAAAGCGUGCGCAGGCGGUUGUGCAAGUCUGAUGUGAAAGCCCCGGGCUCAACCUGGGAACGGCAUUGGAGACUGCACGGCUAGAGUGCGUCAGAGGGGGGUAGAAUUCCACGUGUAGCAGUGAAAUGCGUAGAGAUGUGGAGGAAUACCGAUGGCGAAGGCAGCCCCCUGGGAUGACACUGACGCUCAUGCACGAAAGCGUGGGGAGCAAACAGG
RNAcentral lists this ribosomal RNA (253 nucleotides) under uncultured Chromobacterium sp. RNAcentral describes it as "partial 16S ribosomal RNA". It matches the Rfam family "Bacterial small subunit ribosomal RNA", at positions 524 to 776 of the family's 1533-position model. Lineage: Bacteria; Pseudomonadati; Pseudomonadota; Betaproteobacteria; Neisseriales; Chromobacteriaceae. The record is from RNAcentral.